UGCCGUGAAUAACAUAUUAAUGUGCUCUAUGUGCUCCCUAAUGCCAUGAGGCUACACUCCAUAAUGCCAUGAUGCUACACUCCCUAAUGCCAUGAGGCUACACUCCCUAAUGCCAUGAGGCUACACUCCUUAAUGCCAUGAGGCUACACUCCAUAAUGCCAUGAGGCUACACUCCCUAAUGCCAUGAGGCUACACUCCAUAAUGCCAUGAGGCUACACUCCAUAAUGCCAUGAGGCUACACUCCCUAAUGCCAUGAGGCUACACUCCCUAAUGCCAUGAGGCUACACUCCAUAAGGCUACACUCCAUAAUGCCAUGAUGCUACACUCCCUAAUGCCAUGAGGCUACACUCCCCAAUGCCAUGAGGCUACACUCCCUAAUGCCAUGAGGCUACACUCCCUAAUACCAUGAGGCUACACUC
Oncorhynchus tshawytscha (Chinook salmon) is the source of this 419-nucleotide long non-coding RNA. Lineage: Eukaryota; Metazoa; Chordata; Actinopteri; Salmoniformes; Salmonidae. The record is from Ensembl.